GCCAGACUCCUACGGGAGGCAGCAGUGGGGGAUAUUGCACAAUGGGGGAAACCCUGAUGCAGCGACGCCGCGUGGGUGAGGAAGCGCCUCGGCGCGUAAAGCCCUGUCAGCAGGGAAGAAAAUGACGGUACCUGAAGAAGAAGCUCCGGCUAACUACGUGCCAGCAGCCGCGGUAAUACGUAGGGAGCGAGCGUUGUCCGGAAUUACUGGGUGUAAAGGGAGCGUAGGCGGGCGAGAAAGUUGAAUGUUAAAUCUACCGGCUUAACUGGUAGCUGCGUUCAAAACUUCUUGUCUUGAGUGAAGUAGAGGCAGGCGGAAUUCCUAGUGUAGCGGUGAAAUGCGUAGAUAUUAGGCGGAACACCAGUGGCGAAGGCGGCCUGCUGGGCUUUAACUGACGCUGAGGCUCGAAAGCGUGGGGAGCAAACAGGAUUAGAUACCCCAGUA
This 444-nucleotide ribosomal RNA is filed under the name uncultured bacterium. RNAcentral describes it as "partial 16S ribosomal RNA". It matches the Rfam family "Bacterial small subunit ribosomal RNA", at positions 330 to 792 of the family's 1533-position model. The record is from RNAcentral.